Molecule: ribosomal RNA, 423 nt
Filed under: uncultured archaeon
Lineage: Archaea
Description: partial 16S ribosomal RNA
Rfam family: Archaeal small subunit ribosomal RNA
Source: RNAcentral
CUACGGGAUGCAGCAGCUAGGAAUAAUCUACAAUGCGCGAAAGCGUGAUAGUUUGAGUCAGAGUGAUUUUCUAUUUGAAAAUCUUUUGCCAAAUGUAAAAAGUUUGGCGAAUAAGGACUGGGUAAGACGAGUGCCAGCCGCCGCGGUAAUACUCGCGGUCCAAGUCGCAGCCAUUUUUAUUGGGUCUAAAACAUCCGUAGCUUGCUUAAUAAGUUCCUUGUGAAAUUUUGUAUCUCAAGUACGAAGCGUGCAAGAAAUACUGUUAAGCUAGAGACUGGAAGACGUAAGAAGUACGUUCGGAGUAUCGGUUAAAUGAGUUAAUCCUGGACGGACUCACAAUUAGCGAAGGCAUCUUACGAGGACAGUUCUGACAGUGAGGGAUGAAGGCUAGGGGCGCAAAUGGGAUUAGAUACCCCGGUAGUC